RNAcentral lists this non-coding RNA (30 nucleotides) under Mus musculus (house mouse). The record is from RNAcentral. Lineage: Eukaryota; Metazoa; Chordata; Mammalia; Rodentia; Muridae.
UGUGUACCUACUAUGCCCCUUCUCCAAGUC